Molecule: long non-coding RNA, 4357 nt
Organism: Canis lupus familiaris (dog)
Lineage: Eukaryota; Metazoa; Chordata; Mammalia; Carnivora; Canidae
Exons: 4
Source: RefSeq, a predicted model, not a curated record
GAAAUAAUAAACAUUUUAAGCAAAUGUGGGAGUUCCCUGCAUCUUGAAAAGUUUCCCUUGCACUUAGUUAAUCAUCCCCUCGAGGGCAGUUUUACAAGGCGCCUUGUCUGUACAAUGUACACAGGCUGAUUACAUUUAAAUCUUCUCUUCUAACGAACGGCAUUUCUAAAGGAAAAGCCUAAUUUUGUCAGACAAGCUGAAUCCUGUCAUUCCCCUCGUCUUGUUUAUGUAGGGAAAAAUAAAGCCAGUAUCUAUGUUGAAAUGGGCCACACCUCAACCAAAAUGCUAAUGUAAAACAAAAGCAAAUAGAAAUCAUUCCUUUUCCUUUCUCUCCAGAUUCACUUUAUGAUUAGCCCGAGUGUUUGCAUUUGCACAACCACAUGUUGGAAAAGUGAGAAGAUGAAUAGUCCAAAACAAUCACCGCCUUCCAUGCGGAAAAAUUCCGCAUCCACCUAAAAAAUCAUCUUAUUGUUUCUAAUAUGUCAUCUUUUCACUCAGCACUAAAAUUCAGCUGUUUCUGGGGGUGGAAGCACAAAGCCAUUCAAUAUUUUUUUUAUUUUAUUUUUUUAUUUUUUAUGGGAGCAGAUGAAGUUCCCCCACCCCACCCUCUCUUCCAAAUCCAGUUUCCCUCCUGCCUCUCCAGGAGGAAAAAAAAAAGAUCUAAAUUUAAGCAGAAGUGAAUGAACAAGCUGAAAGAGUAGUAAAAAACUGUAAAAACAACAGCAAAAGUAAACUGAAAAGCACUUAUCUCUCCACCACCAUCCAAAAAAGACCAGCAAACAACCAACAAGAGAAACAACUCCAGUCCUGAAGCAAUCUGAAUCAAAACGGACAACCUGGAACACAUCUGGCAAGUCAGGAUGCCCUUUCAAAGUUACGCAUUUAUUCAACCAAUACAUCUGCACAAUGCCACGCAUGAGGCACUGCUCAAAGCAUUAGGUCCCAGAGUGAGCUUGUCCCGAAACUGCUUUUGAAAGAUAAAAUUCAUGAAACUCCAAGAGCGUUCCAAGAAUGUGGGCCCUCGGCCUGGCACUUCCAGCCAAGUGGAAAAUCUCGCCAACCCAGCGGUGUGAUGCUGUAGAAGAGGAAGGGCUGUCGAAGACAUCUGAACUUGGCAGGGGAAAGGAGCCAACCCUGCCACCUUGGACAGUUACCAGAUUGCUACUAAUUACUGUCUUUAAAUUCUAUGGGCAGCUGGGAUGUGUAUGGAUGUUGGAAAUGACUGAAAGAACAGAACUCCUGAGCCAUAUCCGUAUCCCUGCAGCUUCAAAGCCAGAGAAGACUAACUAGCAGACAAAUAAGUGAUGAUCAAAACAGAAAGUGGAAAGUUCUUUCUCCAGCUGAUGGCAAUAGCAGUACCAGAAGGUGAAUAUUAAAGUUCAUGGAAGCUAUAAGAGUUCUGCUGAAGAUCCAGAAUGGUCCAAAAAAGGUGAAGAUUUUCCAGAUAUGUGAUGUGGUUUUGAACUACUGCACUUGGGUGCUAUCCAAAUUGGAGCUUCCUAGACGUUCAUGGAGCAGCUUACGACUUUAAGAGAUCCCUUCAUCCAUGUUCUCUGAGUGGAGAAUUCACUGAACCCAAAUGACCCCUGCAAUGGCUUCUAAGUUCCUCAUCCCAGGGUUAUCUUUCAUUCCCAUAAAGCUGGUGAGAACUAACCUCCCUAGGGAAGCUUCCCUGAGUAUCUUGCCCCACCAAAUUCAGUGAACCAUCACAAGCUUGGAUUCCAGUUACCCUUUGACCAUAUCCAGAGACUUUCCCCCAGAAAGGACUCUUACUUGAGGACAAAGAAUUUAAGGUUAUAAGGACUUUAUGACAGAAGGUGUAUAUCUGGUUAGAUUAUUGACAAAAUUUAAAGUCAAAACAUCUUCUAAAAAGACGACAAAAAUUGUUUUCAGGGCAUAUAGAGGAGCUUCCAUCUAUGGAAUUCCAUCUAUGGGAUCCCAACACAUCUAGUUGGGACAGCGGAGCUCCAAUUGCCAGGGUAAGGAGAUGUUAUGCUGUGGACAAUCCAUGCUAAGAGGAUGAAGAGGCUCACAUGAUGGAGAACACAACCCCACUUGUGUGAAGGCUGCAGGAAAUAUUCUUCUGGCUGGGAGGGGGCCACUCAUCUGUGAAUAUCCCUAAAGAACAAUACAGAAAUCAAUUAUUGCUAAAUACUGAGGCUGUAUGAGAGUAGGAGUCCAUACUUAUUCAUAGAUGCAUCACAAGCAGCUAGAACAGUUCCCGGUGCCUGAUAACGAUUUAUUGAAUGAAUGAAGCAAAACCUUGCCUAGGCUUGAAAAAAGAAUAUGGGAUACUCUCAGGAAGAAGGUGAAGUGACUAAAAACAUCUCUUAAUUAACCCACCAGACAGUAAUAAUAAUAAAGUAAUAAUACCUGAAAGAAAGCAAAUCAUUUACCACAAUAGCAAAGAGUAAGCUAAAAAUAAACAAUCAAACAAACAAACAAACAAAAAACAAGCCCAGGUUAAUUUUACAAACAUUGCAACACCUCAGGUGAACAGCUAAUGGGAAGGGACCUGGGGAAGACUCCCAACCAUGUACCAACUUAUGCUGACCAUUUCAGUCAAAGGACAAAGGGAAAACAGGGACAAAGGGAAAACAGGAGAACAAGAAAGAAAUGUGACAUAUGAGUGAGCAAGCCAUCUGGACUUUUAACUAUCACAAAAUGAAAAGCAUUACGGAGUGUACCAGUUCACAGCAACAGCGGUGUUGAAGAUAAAGGCUCAGGUCAACAAAUCCAAAAUCAGACCUAUGAUCUCUCUCACACACGCAGUGCUCCUGUAUUCCUUAUCAGCAGAGCCUUCCCUGACCCCCUGCUUCGCAAGCCUGGGAGACGUGCCCCCCUCAUACCCUCAAAUCUCUCUGUGCCUGCCUUCCAACAGACCUCCUCUCUAAGUUCUGAGCUCCUUCACACCAAGGCACUGUGUCUUAUUCCUUGCUGUAUCUCAGCGUCUAACACAGUAUCUUGCAUAUAUAGUAAGUAGUUAAUAAGUAAUUGUCCAGAAAUUAAACAAAAUUAAUGGCUCCAUCAUCUACCCACUCAACCAAGACUUCUCCCUCUCUUACCCUCCAUGUCCAAGGUCACCAAGUCCUAGUUAACCGACUUAAAAUGUGUUUCAGGCCUGACCCCUCCUCUUUGCUUGGGUCUUCUUUUGCCUAGACUCUUACAGAGUCCUCCUGACAUUGGUCUCCUUGCCUCUGAGCACUCUCCUUUCCAACCCAUCCUCCAUAGCACAGGUGGCAAACUAGUAGCCCACAUACAUGAUUUGUUUAGCCCUGAAAAUCUUCUAAAAAUAAUAUGAAUUAGUUUCCUACAUUUUAAAAUCAGGGCUUUUCAAAUAAAAUUUUGGUUUUACAAUUUCUUUAAAAAUCACAGUGACUAGAAACAAAGGCACUUGAUUUCCAUAGGGCUGCAAUGAGCUAGAGGGAGCUGGAGGCAUGGAGCCUGCACCCUCCAGCAGGGACAUCCCCCUCCUUCCUCCUUGGCCUGCUUCCUUUGGCUUAUGGGCCUGUAGGCAUGGAUGCUUGUGGUACCUCCUCUGUCCUGUCACUGGAGCUAUCUGUAAGAAACACAGAGCUCAUCAAAUCGAAUCACAUGACUACAAUCCAACUUUGCUGGCAAAAUAAAAUCAUGGUGUACAUUCCAUACCUAUCACACACUGGCUCCAUCCACCUUUCAAGCCCAGGCCUUCAUUUUUCUCAGCCUGCACCUUGAGUGUGCUGGGCACUUUCCCCAUCUCUGAGGCUUUGCUCAAGCUCUGUUCUCUAGCUUGAGUGCCUGACCAUGUGCUGUAGUGGUCAAAAGAACAUGCUGGAAUCAGACUGCUUAGGUGCAAAUCCUCUCUAAGCCUUCCUCAUCUGUAAAAUGGAGAUAAGACUAGUUGAUACUUCAUGAGGUUACAGGGAGGAACAAAUAAGUAAUAUUUGUAAAAUUCUUAACACAGGGCUUGGCACAUAGCAAGAGCUUAACAGGUGAUCCCUGUGUUGUUGUCACUGUUGUCCUGCCCUUCUGUCCCUGAAGCAAUGCUGUUCCACCUCCAUAGCCAGUUCAGAUGUCACCUUCUCAGUGAAGCCUUCCUCAUCCUUCCACCCCACCCUAAACAGAGUGAGUAAUGAGAAUUUUGCACAUAAUUCUAGGAUGGCACUGGCCACAUCCUCUCACCUUUAGCUGUACUGUGUCCAGCCCCUGUGAGUAGCACUCACUCCCUAAGGGCUGGGCUGGACAUUUUCUAGCAUCCAGUGCCCAGACAAGAGAUGUGCAGCAUUUCUGGAAUGAGUCGGAUUGGACGUGAAGAUAGAAAUAGCCAGAGGGUUGUGGCACCCAGAUGGUUCAGGCAGUUAAACAUCUGCCUUCAGCU